UUGGAGGGCAAGUCUGGUGCCAGCAGCCGCGGUAAUUCCAGCUCCAAUAGCGUAUAUUAAAGUUGUUGCAGUUAAAAAGCUCGUAGUUGAAUUUCGGGGUUAGUAGGUUGGUCAUGCCUCUGGUAUGUACUGGUCUCACUGAUUCCUCCUUCCUGAUGAGCCGUAAUGCCAUUAAUUUGGUGUUGCGGGGAAUUUGGACUGUUACUUUGAAAAAAUUAGAGUGUUUAAAGCAAGCUAACGCUUGAAUACAUUAGCGUGGAAUAAUGAAAUAGGACGUUCGAUCCUAUUUUGUUGGUUUCUAGGAUUGACGUAAUGAUUAAUAGGGAUAGUUGGGGGCAUUAGUAUUCAAUUGUCAGAGGUGAAAUUCUUGGAUUUAUUGAAGACUAACUACUGCGAAAGCAUUUGCCAAGGAUGUUUUCAUUAAUCAAGAACGAAAGUUAGGGGAUCGAAGACGAUCAGAUACCGUCGUAGUCUUAACCAUAAACUAUGCCGACUAGGGAUCGGAUGAUGUUAAUUUUUUAAUGACUCAUUCGGCGCCUUACGGGAAACCAAAGUGUUUGGGUUC
RNAcentral lists this ribosomal RNA (565 nucleotides) under uncultured Glomus. RNAcentral's name for it is "SSU rRNA". It matches the Rfam family "Eukaryotic small subunit ribosomal RNA", at positions 548 to 1114 of the family's 1831-position model. Lineage: Eukaryota; Fungi; Glomeromycota; Glomeromycetes; Glomerales; Glomeraceae. The record is from RNAcentral.